GGAGGUGUUGACCUGGCGGCACUGCUUCCUGAUCUGGCCGUUUGCGCCGGUGAGCACGUCGACGCGGCCCAUCUUCUUCAUGGACAUGGAGAAGGCGGCGUAGAACUUGAUGGGGUUGGUGAGGUCGGCCACCAUCUGCGCGGCGGCGGCGUUCUGCGCCAGCGCGGCGUCGGAGGCCAGCGUGCCCUGCCUCUGCUGCACCCUGGUGUAGUACCCGCUGUCGAACCGGAACGGCGUGCCGCCGUCCAGCGCCACGGUGGCCGACGCCGGCGACGGGUUGGGGCACGACGACAUGAGCG
Molecule: long non-coding RNA, 299 nt
Filed under: Zea mays
Lineage: Eukaryota; Viridiplantae; Streptophyta; Magnoliopsida; Poales; Poaceae
Description: long non-coding RNA (ZMAY_LNC001524)
Source: RNAcentral